Molecule: ribosomal RNA, 253 nt
Filed under: uncultured bacterium
Lineage: Bacteria
Also listed under: 1 other name
Description: partial 16S ribosomal RNA
Rfam family: Bacterial small subunit ribosomal RNA
Source: RNAcentral
UACGUAGGUGGCAAGCGUUGUCCGGAUUUAUUGGGUUUAAAGGGUGCGUAGGUGGUCUAUUAAGUCAGUGCUGAAAUAUCCCGGCUUAACCGGGAGGGUGGCAUUGAUACUGAUGGACUUGAAUGGAGUCGAGGUAGGCGGAAUUGACGGUGUAGCGGUGAAAUGCUUAGAUAUCGUCAAGAACACCGAUAGUGUAGACAGCUUACUAGGCUCUAAUUGACACUGAGGCACGAAAGUGUGGGGAUCAAACAGG